Molecule: long non-coding RNA, 559 nt
Organism: Mus musculus (house mouse)
Lineage: Eukaryota; Metazoa; Chordata; Mammalia; Rodentia; Muridae
Product: predicted gene, 39709
Exons: 2
Source: RefSeq, a predicted model, not a curated record
AGGAACGUACCGGAAGUGGAACAUCACAUGGGCUGAUGUGCUAACUCAGCUUUUCACAGGAUAGUCGACUCUGGCUCAGGCUUUGGAUCCUGGGAAAAUACUCACUUCCUUACUUCUCUCAGCCCUCAUCUGGCUUGCCACAUUCUCCUGCAAGUGACCAGCCGACAUGGUUGAACCCAGUAGACUAUGCUACGUGGAAUAAGCCAGUCACAGAAUAUGUGUAUGUUCCUUGUUCUGUGGAGGCAGUGAACUUGGCCGCGGGAGAAUACAAUGGAGUGGACUGAUUGGAGGCCGUAGUGGUUUCUUCCCACUCACUCUUCGGCUGUUCUUGAACUCAGUAGCAGGACCUAGGAGGCAGUUAGCAACGAUUCCAGGAUUCCACGACAUCUUGCCCUGCUGCCUGCUGUUCCCUGGAGCCUCAGUUGCCUGGCAAGCACACAGCAGGACCACGAUUCUCUGGGGAUUAGGUUUCUCCAUUCUCAGUGUGGGAAUGAGACUGUUUCCUCCCUCACAGGUGGCCGCAAGGAAUUAUAAACCAAUAAAGUGAUUGCUUAGCAUA